GAUGAACGCUGGCGGCGUGCCUAAUACAUGCAAGUCGAGCGAACGGACGAGAAGCUUGCUUCUCUGAUGUUAGCGGCGGACGGGUGAGUAACACGUGGAUAACCUACCUAUAAGACUGGGAUAACUUCGGGAAACCGGAGCUAAUACCGGAUAAUAUUUUGAACCGCAUGGUUCAAAAGUGAAAGACGGUCUUGCUGUCACUUAUAGAUGGAUCCGCGCUGCAUUAGCUAGUUGGUAAGGUAACGGCUUACCAAGGCAACGAUGCAUAGCCGACCUGAGAGGGUGAUCGGCCACACUGGAACUGAGACACGGUCCAGACUCCUACGGGAGGCAGCAGUAGGGAAUCUUCCGCAAUGGGCGAAAGCCUGACGGAGCAACGCCGCGUGAGUGAUGAAGGUCUUCGGAUCGUAAAACUCUGUUAUUAGGGAAGAACAUAUGUGUAAGUAACUGUGCACAUCUUGACGGUACCUAAUCAGAAAGCCACGGCUAACUACGUGCCAGCAGCCGCGGUAAUACGUAGGUGGCAAGCGUUAUCCGGAAUUAUUGGGCGUAAAGCGCGCGUAGGCGGUUUUUUAGUCUGAUGUGAAAGCCCACGGCUCAACCGUGGAGGGUCAUUGGAAACUGGAAAACUUGAGUGCAGAAGAGGAAAGUGGAAUUCCAUGUGUAGCGGUGAAAUGCGCAGAGAUAUGGAGGAACACCAGUGGCGAAGGCGACUUUCUGGUCUGUAACUGACGCUGAUGUGCGAAAGCGUGGGGAUCAAACAGGAUUAGAUACCCUGGUAGUCCACGCCGUAAACGAUGAGUGCUAAGUGUUAGGGGGUUUCCGCCCCUUAGUGCUGCAGCUAACGCAUUAAGCACUCCGCCUGGGGAGUACGACCGCAAGGUUGAAACUCAAAGGAAUUGACGGGGACCCGCACAAGCGGUGGAGCAUGUGGUUUAAUUCGAAGCAACGCGAAGAACCUUACCAAAUCUUGACAUCCUUUGACAACUCUAGAGAUAGAGCUUUCCCCUUCGGGGGACAAAGUGACAGGUGGUGCAUGGUUGUCGUCAGCUCGUGUCGUGAGAUGUUGGGUUAAGUCCCGCAACGAGCGCAACCCUUAAGCUUAGUUGCCAUCAUUAAGUUGGGCACUCUAAGUUGACUGCCGGUGACAAACCGGAGGAAGGUGGGGAUGACGUCAAAUCAUCAUGCCCCUUAUGAUCUGGGCUACACACGUGCUACAAUGGACAAUACAAAGGGCAGCGAAACCGUGAGGUCAAGCAAAUCCCAUAAAGUUGUUCUCAGUUCGGAUUGUAGUCUGCAACUCGACUACAUGAAGCUGGAGUCGCUAGUAAUCGUAGAUCAGCAUGCUACGGUGAAUACGUUCCCGGGUCU
This 1371-nucleotide ribosomal RNA is filed under the name uncultured bacterium. Its description in RNAcentral is "bacterial SSU rRNA". It matches the Rfam family "Bacterial small subunit ribosomal RNA", at positions 28 to 1381 of the family's 1533-position model. The record is from RNAcentral.